AUUGAACGCUGGCGGCAGGCCUAACACAUGCAAGUCGAACGAGUGGCGGACGGGUGAGUAAUGUCUGGGAAACUGCCUGAUGGAGGGGGAUAACUACUGGAAACGGUAGCUAAUACCGCAUACCAUCGGAUGUGCCCAGAUGGGAUUAGCUAGUAGGUGGGGUAACGGCUCACCUAGGCGACGAUCCCUAGCUGGUCUGAGAGGAUGACCAGCCAAAAUGGAACUGAGACACGGUCCAGAGUAAGACGGGAGGCAGCAGUGGGGAAGAUUGCACAAUGGGCGCAAGCUUGAUGCAGCCAUGCCGCGGGUAUGAAGAAGGCCUGCGGGUUGUAAAGGACUUUCAGCGGGGAGGAGUUACCCGCAGAAGAAGCACCGUCUAACGCCGUGCCAGAAGCCGCGGUAAUAC
Molecule: ribosomal RNA, 406 nt
Filed under: uncultured bacterium
Lineage: Bacteria
Description: partial 16S ribosomal RNA
Rfam family: Bacterial small subunit ribosomal RNA
Source: RNAcentral